CCAAAGGUUUUACUUGAAUAUGACAGUUGUUCAAAACCAUCAAAUUUUAAAAUAAAGGGUAUUU
Non-coding RNA from Rattus norvegicus (Norway rat), 64 nucleotides. The record is from Rfam. NCBI's taxonomy places the organism in Eukaryota, Metazoa, Chordata, Mammalia, Rodentia, Muridae.